Molecule: ribosomal RNA, 323 nt
Filed under: Mesorhizobium sp.
Lineage: Bacteria; Pseudomonadati; Pseudomonadota; Alphaproteobacteria; Hyphomicrobiales; Phyllobacteriaceae
Description: partial 23S ribosomal RNA
Rfam family: Bacterial large subunit ribosomal RNA
Source: RNAcentral
AACGCGGACCAGGCCAGUGGCAAUGAUGAAUAAAGCGGAACGAUUUGGAAAAGUCGGCCAUAGAGGGUGAUAGCCCCUUACGCGUAGAACAGUCAUUGUCCUUGAGUAGGGCGGGGCACGUGAAAUCCUGUCUGAACAUGGGGAGACCACUCUCCAAGCCUAAGUACUCGUGCAUGACCGAUAGCGAACAAGUACCGUGAGGGAAAGGUGAAAAGCACCCCGACGAGGGGAGUGAAAUAGAACCUGAAACCGGAUGCCUACAAACAGUCGGAGCCCGCAAGGGUGACGGCGUACCUUUUGUAUAAUGGGUCAACGACUUAGUG